GAUGAACGCUGGCGGCGUGCCUAAUACAUGCAAGUCGAGCGAACAGACGAGGAGCUUGCUCCUCUGACGUUAGCGGCGGACGGGUGAGUAACACGUGGAUAACCUACCUAUAAGACUGGGAUAACUUCGGGAAACCGGAGCUAAUACCGGAUAAUAUAUUGAACGGCAUGGUUCAAUAGUGAAAGACGGUUUUGCUGUCACUUAUAGAUGGAUCCGCGCCGCAUUAGCUAGUUGGUAAGGUAACGGCUUACCAAGGCAACGAUGCGUAGCCGACCUGAGAGGGUGAUCGGCCACACUGGAACUGAGACACGGUCCAGACUCCUACGGGAGGCAGCAGUAGGGAAUCUUCCGCAAUGGGCGCAAGCCUGACGGAGCAACGCCGCGUGAGUGAUGAAGGUCUUCGGAUCGUAAAACUCUGUUAUUAGGGAAGAACAAAUGUGUAAGAAAAUAUGCACGUCUUGACGGUACCUAAUCAGAAAGCCACGGCUAACUACGUG
RNAcentral lists this ribosomal RNA (497 nucleotides) under uncultured bacterium. RNAcentral describes it as "partial 16S ribosomal RNA". It matches the Rfam family "Bacterial small subunit ribosomal RNA", at positions 28 to 507 of the family's 1533-position model. The record is from RNAcentral.